CCUACGGGAGGCAGCAGUGGGGAAUAUUGCACAAUGGGGGAAACCCUGAUGCAGCAACGCCGCGUGAGUGAGGAAGUAUUUCGGUAUGUAAAGCUCUAUCAUCAGGGAAUAGAAAAGAUGGGACCUGAAAAAGAAGCACCGGCGAACUACGUGCCAGCAGCCGCGGUAAUAUGCAGGGGGCAAGCGUUAUCCGGAUUUACUGGGUGUAAAGGGAGCGUAGACGGAAAGGCAAGUCAGACGUGAAAGCCCAAGGCUCAACCAAGGUACUGCUUUUGAAACUGUCUAACUAGAGUGCGGGAGAGGUAAGAGGAAUUCCUAGUGUAGCGGUGAAAUGCGUAGAUAUUAGGAGGAACACCAGUGGCGAAGGCGGCUUACUGGACCGAAACUGACGUUGAGGCUCGAAAGCGUGGGUAGCAAACAGGAUUAGAUACCCGAGUAGUC
RNAcentral lists this ribosomal RNA (441 nucleotides) under uncultured bacterium. Its description in RNAcentral is "partial 16S ribosomal RNA". It matches the Rfam family "Bacterial small subunit ribosomal RNA", at positions 338 to 795 of the family's 1533-position model. The record is from RNAcentral.